ACGAACGCUGGCGGCGUGCCUAAUACAUGCAAGUAGAACGCUGAAGAGAGGAGCUUGCUCUUCUUGGAUGAGUUGCGAACGGGUGAGUAACGCGUAGGUAACCUGCCUUGUAGCGGGGGAUAACUAUUGGAAACGAUAGCUAAUACCGCAUAACAAUGGAUGACACAUGUCAUUUAUUUGAAAGGGGCAAUUGUUCCACUACAAGAUGGACCUGCGUUGUAUUAGCUAGUAGGUGAGGUAAUGGCUCACCUAGGCGACGAUACAUAGCCGACCUGAGAGGGUGAUCGGCCACACUGGGACUGAGACACGGCCCAGACUCCUACGGGAGGCAGCAGUAGGGAAUCUUCGGCAAUAGGGGCAACCCUGACCGAGCAACGCCGCGUGAGUGAAGAAGGUUUUCGGAUCGUAAAGCUCUGUUGUAAGUCAAGAACGGGUGUGAGAGUGGAAAGUUCACACUGUGACGGUAGCUUACCAGAAAGGGACGGCUAACUACGUG
Molecule: ribosomal RNA, 496 nt
Filed under: uncultured bacterium
Lineage: Bacteria
Description: partial 16S ribosomal RNA
Rfam family: Bacterial small subunit ribosomal RNA
Source: RNAcentral